RNAcentral lists this long non-coding RNA (673 nucleotides) under Apteryx rowi (Okarito brown kiwi). RNAcentral's name for it is "lncRNA (ENSARWG00000018767.1)". Lineage: Eukaryota; Metazoa; Chordata; Aves; Apterygiformes; Apterygidae. The record is from RNAcentral.
UAACAGUGGAUAAGUUAGUUAUUUAAUAGCUUGCUUUUGUUCUUCUCUUUCCCUUCCCCAUUUCAGAUAAACUGCUGGGAAAGAAUACAAGACAACCUUCUGAUUGCCUGCUGAAAUGCUAAGAUCAAAUGGACCAGGUAGAACAUCAAGAAGAGUUUGGCUAAAGGCAAGUCAAAACCAUGACAUCAUCUGCAGAAGGCAGCUUGUUGCUGACAUCACUGAUUCUUCCUUCUGAUUUAAAUGGUAUUAUUCAUGUUGAUGGGAUCACUACAAGACUGUGAUCAGUCUUCACAGUAGCGAGGCCUGGUAAGUGUCAUCAAACACUCAUGCUCCUUGCAGGUUGCUCCAAUAUCUUUGAUUACUCAAGGAGGAAAGAAGUAUAUGUAAUCAUUGACAUAGUAUCAUUCUACCUGAAAAUGCUUAACAGUACCAAAUAAUUAUAGCUGUUACAACACUGUAGAUUGAGAAGAUGUCAGCUUUAAAUUUUGCUGUUGCUUUUACACAAAAUCAAACAUAUCUAUAUCUACUGGAAUUCUCAUUAGCUUUUCAAGAGGGUGACCAACACCAUUAAGCUCAAAGCACAUUUCAUGGAAAAGACUAAAAAGUAAUACAGAGAAAAUUAAACAUCCCAUCAUUAAUGAAGUGAUAAUAAAGAUUAAGUACAUUUGAAGCA